Molecule: long non-coding RNA, 1721 nt
Organism: Zonotrichia albicollis (white-throated sparrow)
Lineage: Eukaryota; Metazoa; Chordata; Aves; Passeriformes; Passerellidae
Source: Ensembl
AUGUCGCGCUUUACAUCACUCUUUGCGACAGUCGUGCCUUACAUCACUCUUUACGACAGCAGCGCUUUAUGGCCCCUUUUACAACAGUCGCACUUUACGGCCGGUUUUGCGACAGUCGCUCUUUAUGGCCCCUUUUACGACAGUCGCACUUUAUGGCACCUUUUACGACACUUUAUGACAGUCGCGCUUUACGGCAGUUUUACGACAGUUUUACGACAGUCGCGCUUUACGGCAGUUUUACGACAGUCGUGCUUUACGGCACAUUUUACGACACUUUAUGACAGUCGCGCUUUAUGCCCCCUUUUACGACAGUCGCGCUUUACGGCACAUUUUUACCACAGUCGCGCUUUACGGCACCUUUUACGACAGUCGCGCUUUACGGCAAUUUUACGACAGUCGCGCUUUACAGCACAUUUUACGACACUUUACGACAGUCGCGCUUUACGGCAGUAUUACGACAGUCGCGCUUUACAGCAUUUUACGACACUUUAUGACAGUCGCGCUUUACGGCACAUUUUUACCACAGUCGCGCUUUACGGCAAUUUUACGACAGUCGCGCUUUACGGCACCUUUUACAACAGUCGCGUUUUACGGCUCAUUUUACGACACUUUACGACAGUCGCGCUUUACGGCAGUUUCACGACAGUCGCUCUUUACGGCCCCUUUUACGACAGUCGUCCUUUACGGCACCUUUUACUUGGAACAACACUGUCAAAAUUGCCCUCACUGAAUGCCUCCUCAAUUCCCAGAGGUAAAACUAAAUGUCUGGUCUGGGAGAUUGUAAGGAUUGGGUGUUUUGUUUUCUUGAUCUGAUAAAUGAUCAGAACACUUCAAAUCAUGGGCAACUGCUUCAUUCCAGCAAGUUUUAACCCCGCCCCUAAAAUUCAAGGUCUACAUUCAAGACACACUCCAAGCAAUGUACACUGAAGGUUAAGAAUUUAUCUAGCACUUUUGAAUAUAGUGUUUAAUGCACUGAAUUAAAAAUUCAAAUCAUACUAGGUUCCAGGCUGGGGCUCACAAACAUGUUGUGAUCACCAAGUACCAAACAUCAUUAAAACCUGUCAGGAGCACACUGAAGAUCAGGAGAACCCAGACAAUGUGAGAGACAAGAACACACUGCAGAGCCCAGCUGGCACAACCUGCAUUUCAGGAUCUGAGUCCUAACAUGCAACAAGGUUUCCCGUGUGUGCCAUUCCACAGUCAGUUCCUGACUUGUCCCACAGUACCUGGACCAUCCAUCGUCUGCAGUCCCAGAGAAAUGGGGUUUAAACUGAUACUUAUUUAAACUUUACUCCAUUUAAGCCAAAUACUCUGUAAAAUUUCUGAAAAAUUAACCACUUGCAUGUAAAAACUACACAAAUCUUCAUUCUGUAACUGACAACACAAAUAAUGUUUCAUUUGCACUCUAAAAAUUACAUUUCUGUACAGUAAAGCACAACUUAAACCCUUCUCAGGUAUUCAAGUCCUACCCAAGAAAGGAGAAUGAAAGUUAUUAUAAUCUGGCUAAAGCCAUGGAGAUUUAUGGAGAUACCUUAAACAGAGCUGUAACAAUUUGACAAAGGAGAGCACAUCCAAAUUUUGAGCCAUGCAGAAGGGAGUUCCCAGAGGUGCUGCUUGAGGUGUCUGCACAUGGAAUGACUGGACACCCAUCAUGGCAGAUUUUGUAUUACUGAACUUCUUGUACAAAAGCUGAUUUCAAAUAAAACAUUUAAUGAAAAACA